GCUUAUGACAAUAUGUACUUCGAAUAUGUUUGAAAAUCUUAAUUGGUAUAUGUAUUUUUUUAUGUGCGUGCGCAUGUUUUCUCUUCCAUAUUGACAAUCACAAAGGUUAAUUCUUUUCAAUUCAAUUUGUUGUUUUCCUUUCUGAAAACUUAAAACAAUAUUAAUAUUGUUUAAUGAAUAGAAGCAUUUCCUCCCCAUCCGUUAGCUUCUUUCCUAAAAUUCAUUGCAAUUGUUUUCCCUUGGCCAUGACAUAUAUCUACCAUUGCUAAGGCAAGACCAUGUAAGUCUUCUAUGAUUUGAUUUGAUCCAAAUGCCUCAUUUACUCUACCACUAGUCACAUUCCAUGUUUUUGUCUCUUCUUACCCUACAAACUAAUCAAUUGUUUUGGUAAGAUUUGUUUUUAGGACAAAACAAUGUGCAAUUUAAGGGAACCUAGUUGGGUUUUGUUUAGAAUUUUGCCUUUUCUUCCUCUUUAAUAAAUUUUUAUAUGUGUGUCUGUGAAUGCAAUCUCACUUUUGUU
This 520-nucleotide unclassified non-coding RNA is filed under the name Hevea brasiliensis (rubber tree). Lineage: Eukaryota; Viridiplantae; Streptophyta; Magnoliopsida; Malpighiales; Euphorbiaceae. The record is from RNAcentral.